Molecule: small RNA, 28 nt
Filed under: Bombyx mori (domestic silkworm)
Lineage: Eukaryota; Metazoa; Arthropoda; Insecta; Lepidoptera; Bombycidae
Description: ovarian small RNA-11876
Source: RNAcentral
AGACGGAAGGUGAGGCGUCCUCGGCCAC